RNAcentral lists this unclassified non-coding RNA (234 nucleotides) under Borreliella burgdorferi (Lyme disease spirochete). Lineage: Bacteria; Pseudomonadati; Spirochaetota; Spirochaetia; Spirochaetales; Borreliaceae. The record is from RNAcentral.
GGGAGAGUAGGUUAUUGCCAGGGUUUUUAUUUUUAUACUUUUAACUUUGAUUUUAUUUUUAUGUUUUUUAAAUAUUGGUGUUUUUGAAUGUGUUGUUUAAAUAACAUAAAAAAUAAAAUAUAUAUUGACAUGUAUUAAACAAUGAUAUAUAUUAUUUGAUGUUGUAUAAAUAAAUUGGCAAAAUAGAGAUGGAAGAUAAAAAUAUGGUCAAAGUAAUAAGAGUCUAUGGUGAAU